Molecule: non-coding RNA, 429 nt
Organism: Alligator sinensis (Chinese alligator)
Lineage: Eukaryota; Metazoa; Chordata; Crocodylia; Alligatoridae
Source: the annotation of a RefSeq genome assembly
UCUGGCAAUUUUGUGCCGUCAUUUUGCAUACCCUUCACCAUGUGCUCCUUCCUUUUCAUCUCCGUGCUGCUGAGCUGCUUUUGGGCUGUCCAGAGCCAAGGGUCCCUGAUCCAGCCACCGUCAGAAGUUAAACGGCCUGGGGAGACCCUGAAGCUUUCCUGCAAAUACUCUGGCUCUGAUUUUACCAAGUACUGGAUGCAGUGGGUCCGGCAGCCCCACAGUCUGGGACUGAGCUGGAUUGGGGAGGCUAACAAAGACACCACAUCUACCAACGUUCGGCGGGCUUUUCAGGAGCGUGUUAAGAUCACCAGGGACAAUGCCAACAGCUUAAUUCACUUGGAAGUGAGGAAUCUGCAGCCUGAGGACAGUGCUGUGUAUUACUGUGCUGCCCACAGUGACUGGAGGCUUGGACAAAACCCUGAGACCUAA